AUGGAUGAUUCGAAUCCUACAUCCUCACAUGUCGAACCAAAUGUGAAGUUGGAGAAGAAUGGAGAGGAAGACAAAGUCGAUGCAACUUUGUUCAAGCAAAUUGUGGGAUCUCUGAGCAAAUGGGUUACAAGUUACAACAAGGAUAGUAAAGAGCCAGAAGUACGCAAGCGACAGAGCAAGCAAGCCAAGAACCUCCCAAGAUCUCUCUCUCUCCGUCAUCGUUCCCAACUGCCCCUGCUGAUUUCAUCUAAUCAUCUUAGCUACUAUGAAAUCUUCAAUUAA
Vicia faba (fava bean) is the source of this 282-nucleotide non-coding RNA. The record is from the annotation of a GenBank genome assembly. NCBI's taxonomy places the organism in Eukaryota, Viridiplantae, Streptophyta, Magnoliopsida, Fabales, Fabaceae.